AUUGAACGCUGGCGGCAGGCCUAACACAUGCAAGUCGAACGGUAACAGGAAGCAGCUUGCUGCUUUGCUGACGAGUGGCGGACGGGUGAGUAAUGUCUGGGAAACUGCCCGAUGGAGGGGGAUAACUACUGGAAACGGUAGCUAAUACCGCAUAACGUCGCAAGACCAAAGAGGGGGACCUUAGGGCCUCUUGCCAUCGGCUGUGCCCAGAUGGGAUUAGCUAGUAGGUGGGGUAACGGCUCACCUAGGCGACGAUCCCUAGCUGGUCUGAGAGGAUGACCAGCCACACUGAAAGUGAGACACGGUCCAGACUCCUACGGGGGGCAGCAGUGGGGAAUAUUGCACAAGGGGCGCAAGCCUGAUGCAGCCAUGCCGCGUGUAUGAAGAAGGCCUUCGGGUUGUAAAGUACUUUCAGCGGGGAGGAAGGGAGUAAAGUUAAUACCUUUGCUCAUUGACGUUACCCGCAGAAGAAGCACCGGCUAACUCCG
RNAcentral lists this ribosomal RNA (488 nucleotides) under uncultured bacterium. Its description in RNAcentral is "partial 16S ribosomal RNA". It matches the Rfam family "Bacterial small subunit ribosomal RNA", at positions 30 to 505 of the family's 1533-position model. The record is from RNAcentral.